RNAcentral lists this small RNA (394 nucleotides) under Pongo abelii (Sumatran orangutan). RNAcentral's name for it is "processed transcript". Lineage: Eukaryota; Metazoa; Chordata; Mammalia; Primates; Hominidae. The record is from RNAcentral.
CGGCCGCCGAGUCGCUGGUGGAUCAGUCGGCGGCGCUGCACCGGCGGGUAGCCGCUAUGCGGGAGGCGGGGACAGCGCUUCCGGACCAGGUCAGGCAGAGGUAUCAAGAGGAUGCAUCCGAUAUGAAGGACAUGUCCAAAUACAAACCUCACAUUCUGCUGUCCCAAGAGAACACACAGAUUAGAGACUUGCAACAGGAAAAUAGAGAGCUGUGGAUUUCCUUGGAGGAACACCAGGAUGCUUUGGAACUCAUCAUGAGCAAGUAUCGGAAACAGAUGUUACAGUUAAUGGUUGCUAAAAAAGCUGUGGAUGCUGAACCAGUCCUGAAAACUCACCAGUCUCACUCUGCAGUAAGAAACUUUGAAUAAAUUCGAAAUGAACCAAAUUGAAAUCU